Molecule: ribosomal RNA, 301 nt
Filed under: uncultured bacterium
Lineage: Bacteria
Description: partial 16S ribosomal RNA
Rfam family: Bacterial small subunit ribosomal RNA
Source: RNAcentral
CAGUAGCCGCGGUAAUACGUAGGGCGCAAGCGUUGUCCGGAAUUAUUGGGCGUAAAGAGCUCGUAGGCGGUCUGUCGCGUCUGGUGUGAAAUCCCGAGGCUCAACCUCGGGCUUGCAUCGGGUACGGGCAGACUAGAGUGCGGUAGGGGAGACUUGAAUUCCUGGUGUAGCGGUGGAAUGCGCAGAUAUCAGGAGGAACACCGAUGGCGAAGGCAGGUCUCUGGGCCGCAACUGACGCUGAGGAGCGAAAGCAUGGGGAGCGAACAGGAUUAGAGACCCCAGUAGUCCCUGUCUCUUAUAA